RNAcentral lists this long non-coding RNA (2132 nucleotides) under Oncorhynchus kisutch (coho salmon). Its description in RNAcentral is "lncRNA (ENSOKIG00005034907.1)". Lineage: Eukaryota; Metazoa; Chordata; Actinopteri; Salmoniformes; Salmonidae. The record is from RNAcentral.
UUUGUGAGGAGACAGCGGCGAGUGAGUAAUUUUCCUUAGCCAACGUACAAUCAUUGGCUAAUAAAAUAGAUUAACUACAAGCACGUAUAUCCUACCAAUGUGACUUGAAAAACUGCCAUAUCUUAUGUUUCACCAAGUCGUGGCUGAACAACAACAUGAAUAACAUACAGCUGGCAGUUUAUAAACUAUCGGCAGGAUAGAACCGUAGCCUCUGGGGCCUGUUGCACAAAAGUAGAAUUAAGACAUCCGGGAUAAAUGACUCAGCUGAGCUCAAUGAAGCCAAAACAUGUGCGUCCAGGCUUAAUUGGUUGCACAAAGACCAAGCCAGGAUGAGCAGACACGGAUUCAUUAAGCCAGGUGAAACCAAUCCUGGAUAGGUGCGCGCUCACGGCUCACUCAAAUAGACCCCGCCACAGAUCACAGAUUAACUGAUUUACCAUGGCAACUAGAGCCGCGUACUUUACCCUGUCGGAAGCACAAAUCCUCAUGGAGGCAUACGAGGAGGUAAAAUAUAUAAUUAAGAAGAAAGGCAACACCGCCACAGUGAUAAAGCAAAGAGAAAAAGCGUGGCAAAGAAUUGCAGACCGCCUGAAUGCGUAAGUAGUGCACAAUUACACACUCACCGCUCCGCUGAAACAUCACAAUUACAAUUCAAAUAUUUAAUUCACAUCUCCAAAAAUGCAGUUGUACUGUAAUUAUGAAACGGUUAAAUUUUUUAUUGAAAUGCACUGCAGAUAUGAGUGAAAUUGUGUAAAGUAACUCCAUCACACUGUAUAAAGCUAUGAUACAUUUUUUGAUAUUUUUACUGAAAACAAGACAAAAAUACCAAGUAAUUUUUUGCAGUGUGACUCCAUUAAAUGUGUGUGUGUGUGUGUGUGUGUGUGUGUGUGUGUGUGUGUGUGUGUGUGUGUAGAUUAAACAUGAACGGGCCAAAACGGACAAUGGCAGCAGGUCAAAAUCAAAUACAAGAACAUUCUGCAGAAUGCAGUGAAAAAGAAUACCCACAGACAAGGCACGGGUGGUGGGUCACCAAAGGCUGACCUUACCCCAGCAGAGGACAUGGCCUUAGAGCUAAAUAAAGGCAGGCCCGUCUUAGAGGGGAUCCCUGGGGGGAAAGAGACGAGCAUAGGUUCCUCCCAAGAUGCCACCCGCUUCAUUCAAGGUAUGUCCUUCCAUCUCUACAUGGGAUACAACCACAUUCAUAUUGAAUCAAUUUGGACUGUCUGACUUUGGUUUACCUAUUGCCUUGCAGUGUCUGGCAGCACUGUGUUCCUGUUAAAGCCACCAGCACAAGCACCAGACGAUGCUGAUCCAGUGAGUACUCCAUCAAAGGCAUACUGUAGGCCUGGCAUGUCUUGUCUACUAGCUUCAAUAUGAAUCCGAUUUAAAUGUGAUAGGGUGAAGGCCCCAGUGCAGCAGCAACAGCACAUGAUGGAGACGAUGAUGAGGAGGAGACCAUCUCUCUGGAUUCCAGAAGGCAUGAGGUAUCAUGUUAAGACUGUGAAAGUACUAUUUACUCUACAAUGGUGAGGAGUCCUCAUCAAAAUCAAAAAAUCUAAUUUCUUUUACAGGACCCAGAUGCUAUACAGUGGGAAAACCAGCCUGGCAACAUAGUGCGUAUUAAUAAAAGGACACCACAUCCUGCCAAAUUCCAGCUGCGCUAAUUGUAUUGUGUUCACAGAGCUCACAAGCUAUCAGAAAGUUGUAUGGCAACCACCUCCGGCGCCAAAUAGAACUGGCAGACAUAGACAUUCAGUACAAGAAGAAAAAGAUGGAAAAUCUUGCACUGGAGUUCGAAAUAAAAAAGAGGACAAUUAGGAAACUGGACCUUGAAAUAAAAAAACUUGAGAGGGAGGUGAGAUAUGCCUUCAAUGUACACUGUAUGCUAACUGUAACACAAAUGUAUUAAUCAUUAUUUUUCUUUCCUCCCCCAGCUCCAAGAAGAUGACACAGCUCUAAAUAAAAAUUAGGUAUAUUCUCGUAAAGUCAAGUGAGCCAUGACAUAUGAGCUCUUAUUGUGAGCACACAGGACGGUGGCAUCUUUCUAAGUUUUUUUUUCUUUUUCCCAGCAAUCAGUACAACCAAGUCAUCGUUAUAAGGCAUCGCCCUCUUUUGCCCACCCCCCCAGCACC